ACUGUUUAUAGCCAAAAAACUUUCCAUUUCUGUAUAUUUAAUCCUUUGACACAUUUCUAUUUCUAGGAAUCCUCUCUCAUUAGCAUGCAAAACUUCCAUUAGGACCAGAAUAAAAAGAUUUUUAUCCUGCCUCUUCCACCCUCCCAUGGGAGUACCUGGUAGGGUAUUUGCUUGCAAGAAUUCUUGUCCAGGGAAGUUGAUUCUGGUCCCUACUACAGUAUCUUUGACAUUUCUGCUGUGUAAAGGGGUCACAGCGGUUCCCUGGGGCACAACCCCAGCCCUAGGGCAACAUAGGGGCAAACUAGGCAGCUUAGCACCAUCCUGUGCAGCCCCAAGUUUGGGACUGGGAGUGCAUUGGUGUUAGCAGGAGGACUGGCCAGAGAGCACUGUGUGCUCUGGUUUUUCUCUGCGGCAGAGUCAGACCACCUCCAACCAUUCUGGGAUGCACUGGCCCCUGGAACAACCGAGAGAGUAUCCCAUUUGCCCACGCUCCUCUAACCCUCUUGGCCUUCUCUUUCUGGGCCAUUGCUCCUGAGACACACAUUACAGAGUCUCUCCGAGGACUUUAAGAACGGUCAGAAAAUGACUGUGAUUAACAGAGCAAUAGGCUGUGAGGCACUGCUCCAAGGAAACAGCCUUGGAGCGAUGGCUGGUGCAAGAGUACAGUGACCCUUAGCAACAGUAAAUCCAACAUGCUGCACAGCUUAGUAAUUCUCAUGUUCUAGCGAGACCGACCUAGUAGGACAUUCUUUCUACAUCUGUCUUCAAAUCACAUUGAGCAGAGCACAGAAGGGAAAGGUGAGAUGAAUCAACUUUCUUACCAGGAAAAUGCUACUUUAAAAAAAAAUUAAUUAGAAAGGUGGGGUCUUUUUCCCACAAGAACUAAGAAAAAGCCUUAGCUACCACCCAUCUGGUGUUCUGUACUUGGUAACAGAGCAUUCAGGUGAAGGUUGAUAUAACACUAAAGCCAUAAAACAAAGCACCAGAACUGAAGGUUACUCUGUCCCCUGCUUAUUGACAUCAAAACAAGGUCUGAAAAAGGUAGGAAAGAUCAGACUCUUGUUUCUAAGAGAAGUGUUGGUGAAUCUGAGCAAGAUUACCACUGUUAUCCCUACCCAGCCUAUUCAUUCCUGCUACUGCAGUGAUUUCAAAUGCAUCAAAAAAUCCUGUUUGACCCACAGAACCUGUUUUAGCUGCUCAGUUUAAAACUGGCACUCUUGUUCCACCCAGCAAAGUCCCAGCCAUUAUGUAAGAGCAGUUUUUUUACCAUAAAUAAACUCAAGAAUUUAAUCUAUUUCUUCAUUCCAACGGGUAUUUGAGACAAAUAUCAGAGGUAGGCAUCAUGCUUAGAAAAAAUAAUGUAGCAAUAAUGGUUGGAGCCAUGUGUUGCAGAAAUCUAUUUUUAACCUGCUUUAAUCUGAUACAGAGCCUGAGACAACAGGAUCUCUUGGGUCAUUCAGUCCAUUCCUCCUGCAACAAUGCAAAAUCAUCUGCACUAUUUUGUUUUCAUGUAGUCUAUGAACACCAUUGAGGGUGUCUGUUCUGUUGGCAGAUUAUUCUAUUCAAGUGACCUCUUAGAAACUAUCUAAAGUUCUUCUGUGUAUUUUCCCAAGUAUAUUAAAUAUCAGUCCAGAGAUGUAUAUAUUUUGCACAGAGACCCCAUAUAGUCAGGUACAGCUGUCUCCCCUUUUUUUUUUUUUUUUUUAAGGUAGAUGGGUUUCACCAACUGGAAAUGGUAAUGCUAAUGCUAUUUAAAAUAAGCAAAACAUCUAGUUUUCAUUUAAGAUAAAGGGUUAACAUUAAUUUCUACAGAUGACUUUAAAACUUUUAAAUCAAGUUGAAAUGCUGAAGAUAUUGCUGGGCUCUGUGCAUUAAUUUUAGCAAUUAAAACCCGUGAUGUUAAGGGUUUAAACUGAUCCACAAUAUAUACUCUUGCAAUUUCUCUGAACACAAAAUUCACCCAUGGAGACUAAUUAUUAAAAUUUACCAUUGCUACUCAA
Non-coding RNA from Chelonoidis abingdonii (Abingdon island giant tortoise), 2000 nucleotides. Lineage: Eukaryota; Metazoa; Chordata; Testudines; Testudinidae. The record is from RefSeq and is a predicted model, not a curated record.